Molecule: ribosomal RNA, 857 nt
Filed under: uncultured bacterium
Lineage: Bacteria
Description: bacterial SSU rRNA
Rfam family: Bacterial small subunit ribosomal RNA
Source: RNAcentral
GCAGAAGAGGACAGUGGAAACUCCAUGUGUAGCGGUGAAAUGCGUAGAUAUAUGGAAGAACACCAGUGGCGAAGGCGGCUGUCUGGUCUGUAACUGACGCUGAGGCUCGAAAGUAUGGGUAGCAAACAGGAUUAGAUACCCUGGUAGUCCAUACCGUAAACGAUGAAUGCUAAGUGUUGGAGGGUUUCCGCCCUUCAGUGCUGCAGCUAACGCAUUAAGCAUUCCGCCUGGGGAGUACGGCCGCAAGGCUGAAACUCAAAGGAAUUGACGGGGGCCCGCACAAGCGGUGGAGCAUGUGGUUUAAUUCGAAGCUACGCGAAGAACCUUACCAGGUCUUGACAUACUAUGCAAAUCUAAGAGAUUAGACGUUCCCUUCGGGGACAUGGAUACAGGUGGUGCAUGGUUGUCGUCAGCUCGUGUCGUGAGAUGUUGGGUUAAGUCCCGCAACGAGCGCAACCCUUAUUAUCAGUUGCCAGCAUUAAGUUGGGCACUCUGGUGAGACUGCCGGUGACAAACCGGAGGAAGGUGGGGAUGACGUCAAAUCAUCAUGCCCCUUAUGACCUGGGCUACACACGUGCUACAAUGGCGUAUACAACGAGUUGCCAACCCGCGAGGGUGAGCUAAUCUCUUAAAGUACGUCUCAGUUCGGAUUGUAGGCUGCAACUCGCCUACAUGAAGUCGGAAUCGCUAGUAAUCGCGGAUCAGCACGCCGCGGUGAAUACGUUCCCGGGUCUUGUACACACCGCCCGUCACACCAUGAGAGUUUGUAACACCCAAAGCCGGUGGGGUAACCUUCGGGAGCCAGCCGUCUAAGGUGGGACAGAUGAUUAGGGUGAAGUCGUAACAAGGUAGCCGUA